This 242-nucleotide ribosomal RNA is filed under the name uncultured bacterium. RNAcentral's name for it is "partial 16S ribosomal RNA". It matches the Rfam family "Bacterial small subunit ribosomal RNA", at positions 1251 to 1500 of the family's 1533-position model. The record is from RNAcentral.
CCGCUGGCAACAUCGGUCCAAUCCUUAAAGUCAUCCUCAGUUCGGACUGGGGUCUGCAACCCGACCCCACCGAAGCUGGAUUCGCUAGUAAUCGCGCAUCAGCCAUGGCGCGGUGAAUACGUUCCCGGGCCUUGUACACACCGCCCGUCAAGCCAUGAAAGCCGGGGGCGCCUGAAGUCCGUGACCGCGAGGGUCGGCCUAGGGUGAAACCGGUGAUUGGGGCUAAGUCGUAACAAGGUAAC